UUUAAGUGUUAAUUAUAUUUACCUGGGUAGUAUUAGUUAAGGUCUUUAAACCCAAAGAAUUUGGCGGUAUCUCAUUCCAUUCAGAGGAACCUACUCCAUAAUUGAUAAUACACGAUUAACUCUACUUAUUUUAUUUGCUUGUAUAUCUCCGUUAUCAGAAAAUCUUUUUAGAGUUAUAAUUUUCUUAAUUUAUAAUUAUAAAAUAUUUCAGGUCAAGGUGCAGUUUAUAAUUAAGAGGUAGUGGGUUACAAUAAAUUUUGAUUUAUAACGAAUUUUAUAUUGAAACAUUAUAAAUAAAGGUGGAUUUGAUGGUAAUUUAAUUUAUUUAGUUUAUUUGAUAUUGGCUCUGAGGUGUGC
This 357-nucleotide ribosomal RNA is filed under the name Arminda canariensis. RNAcentral's name for it is "partial 12S ribosomal RNA". The record is from RNAcentral. Lineage: Eukaryota; Metazoa; Arthropoda; Insecta; Orthoptera; Acrididae.